This 425-nucleotide ribosomal RNA is filed under the name uncultured bacterium. RNAcentral describes it as "bacterial SSU rRNA". It matches the Rfam family "Bacterial small subunit ribosomal RNA", at positions 356 to 773 of the family's 1533-position model. The record is from RNAcentral.
GGGGAAUUUUGGACAAUGGGGGCAACCCUGAUCCAGCAACGCCGCGUGAAUGAAGAAGGCCUUAGGGUUGUAAAGUUCUUUUGUCGCAGAGCGAAAGUGAUGUGUUAAUACCAUAUCACGAUGAGAGUAUGCGAAGAAUAAGCACCGGCUAACUACGUGCCAGCAGCCGCGGUAAUACGUAGGGUGCAAGCGUUAAUCGGAAUUACUGGGCGUAAAGCGUGCGCAGGCGGAUGAUUAAGUUAGAAGUGAAAUCCCCGGGCUUAACCUGGGAAUUGCUUUUGAUACUGGUCGUCUAGAGUUUGUCAGAGGGGGGUGGAAUUCCAAGUGUAGCAGUGAAAUGCGUAGAGAUUUGGAGGAACACCAAUGGCGAAGGCAGCCCCCUGGGAUAAAACUGACGCUCAUGCACGAAAGCGUGGGUAGCAAAC